AUGUCGAGCAGCCGAAGGAGCACGCACUUCUGGAGCGAGGAGGAGACGGCUUUCCUCCUGCAGACUCUGAAGGAGAUGAACAUCGACCGCUACAGAGACGGACGCAAGCACCGCAACAGCCUGAUCUUCCGGAGGGUCUGCGCGCGGCACAAGGAGGCGGGCUUCACGCGCUCCUGCGACCAGGUCAAGCACCGCUGGAAAACACUCAAGUCCAUCUACUACAAGGCCAAGAAGCAGAGCAGCAGCAGCUCUAACGCGGCCUUCAAACACUUCGACACGAUGGAGGAAAUCUUCGGACACAGACCUGUGGCUGUCAGCACCGACACCGAGCCCGACAGCAAGGGCUUCACCUUCGAGGAUGGAGAGGAGGAGGAAGAUGAGGGCGUGCUGAAGCGCAGGCGGUCGUGUUGUGCUGCGCUGCACAGUCAGUAUCAGGGCUUUCUGGAGAGACUGCAGCGGAGCCAGAACACAUGGCUGGAGCGCCAGCUGGAGCAGAGUCACCUCCGAGAGGAGCGUCUGAUCGCCCGAGUGCUGGCCGAACAUAGCCGGUCCAUGGAGGCCUUAGUCAGCCAGCUCUUCUCAGGCUUGAGGAGCCUCCUGCCCUCGUCUCCGCUCAGCACACAGCCUGACGCCAGCCCAGCGCAGAGCAGGACUGAGUCCUGAAUCACACACACACAGCUCUCAGAGACUCGAGGAGCACCUCACACACUCUUCAUCCUGAUGCGGUCUUCUGCAGCCCUGCACUGGUUUGUUAAAGGUAGCGAUAAUGUAGCAAUCCAGCAUCUGUUUAACACUGGUAGGUGUUUGUUAUUGUUUCAUUGUACCACAUAGCUUCUGUAAAAGUGUUCAUCAAAUGUUUAGUCAUGAAUAAAGAUGUGAGUGUGUGUGUGUGUAAUGUGAUUUUCUCAUGAGCCUCAUCGGUUUAUUUUAAAUAAACACUGAAAGUGUUUUGUGUGUAAUACAUUUCAAACAUCAAAAAAAUAUUUUUGC
Molecule: long non-coding RNA, 990 nt
Filed under: Sinocyclocheilus anshuiensis
Lineage: Eukaryota; Metazoa; Chordata; Actinopteri; Cypriniformes; Cyprinidae
Description: lncRNA (ENSSANG00000040883.1)
Source: RNAcentral